ACCGGGCUCACAGAGGCGGGGACACUCACCCGGAAAUAGCGGUUGGAGGAGGUUAUUGGCCGUUGAUGAGGCAGUGGAGGGGUGUAUAGAGGAGUAACAUAACGGAAGCUGGGAAGGGGCGCUACUGAGGCAGGUUAAUUGGGCGGAGGAGCCGAAGCCAGAAGUGCCAAGUGCCGGUUCCCUGUCGCUGCUCCAGGUCCUGCACGGUGGGAAACCGCGUGGUGCAGACCUGGGUGCGGAGGACACGGCGGGGUGUCGCGGGGACCCGAAACCUCCCCGGAGCCGCAGUCUCCGCGGGGCGGCCUGGGAAAGUCACCAGUCAGCAGCGCAGUAGCGGGAACCGCAGCCCGGCGGCCCUGGAACCUCCCAGAAAUCCAGGUGCUCUCUGAAGAAUCUCACUGAUCACCCAGACCUGCUCACAGCAGAACAAAGAGGCCUGGAAGAUGGAGAAAGAGGAGACAGUAGCUAAGGCUCUAGUAUGUUUACAUCUAUUGCUUAUGGAACAUUAUUGAAAGACCCCCUGAAGGCAGUCUUCCCUCAGGAGAGACCCUCGCCCAAGGAACACACCGACAC
Peromyscus eremicus (cactus mouse) is the source of this 573-nucleotide long non-coding RNA. RefSeq lists it as uncharacterized. Lineage: Eukaryota; Metazoa; Chordata; Mammalia; Rodentia; Cricetidae. The transcript has 3 exons. The record is from RefSeq and is a predicted model, not a curated record.